This is an RNA transcript of Lycium barbarum (goji berry), 7495 nucleotides long. RefSeq lists it as uncharacterized. NCBI's taxonomy places the organism in Eukaryota, Viridiplantae, Streptophyta, Magnoliopsida, Solanales, Solanaceae. The record is from RefSeq and is a predicted model, not a curated record. The transcript has 4 exons.
ACCCAAACAAAAUUACAUACAAAUAGAUACACUAUAAUCAAAGUGUUGGGCCCGUGCUCAACACGGGCAUUGGAGGUGGUAUCGUCGUCCACCUCCAACUCAUGUUAAAAAAAAUGAGUGGACAUCAUAUUAAAAAAAAAAAGCAAUAAAAAAUAAAAAGUAGACCUCAUAUUAAAAAAUCAAGCAAUAUCAAAAAAUAAUUACACACAUAAAUACACUAUAAUCUAAAAUAUUGGGCCUGUACCGCCAUCUAGUAUAUAUAUAUAAGCAGGCCAAAGGGCCACUGACGUUACAUCACCGAAAUUCAGAAUUUGUAUUUAUCUUUUUUUACAAAUUUUUGAGGGGAAAAGAAAAAAAUAAAAAGACACCUUAAAAACUAAACACCAAACACACACCUCUUCGCUCUUUACACCCCUCCAACAACUGCGCCCGAUUCUCUUUAAAAUUGAAAACUCAGUGGUCGCUUUACAUUUUUACCACCAACAGUCCCUUCAUUCCCUCCAUCUCUUCCCUUUUUUCUGCUUCUGUUGGAUUCUUAUUUCCCUCAAGGCCGCUUGCAAUUUUGCUUAUCCUCGACCAAUUUAUGCAAGGAGUUACAGGUAAAAUAUCCUUCCCUGUUUAUGUAGUUUAAUUUCACAUGUGUCUUUUGUGUGUGUUAUUUUAAUUUUCUCUUACUUAGGAGAUCCAAAAGUGUUUCCUUGAGCAACUUGAAAUUAUUAGUAAAUGCCUGAGAAAUAACAUGCUAAAAUAGUUAGUCUAUGAUGUUAAUUGAUAAACCUGAAUUUCAUAUUUGGUUAGCACCUUUAUUAUUUAUGUUAAUUGACAAAGUUGUUGCAUUAGGGAGAAGAUAAUAUUAGCCACUUUCAUUUGUUCUCAAGUGAUGCAUAUUUCAUAUUUGGUUAGCACCUUUAUUAUUUAUGUUAAUUGACAAAGUUGUUGCAUUACGGAGAAGAUAAUAUUAGCCACUUUCAUUUGUUCUCAAGUGAUGCAUAUGGUGCUUUAGUACUAUAUCAGGGCCUAAGAAUGCAAUUCACGUGUACCAAUAUAACUUGGCUAUUGCCAGGAGCGGGGUUUACCCUGUGCGCACCACCCAAAGGGUAGCGGCUGCAGGUUCCUUUGUCAUUAAAAAAAUAAAUAUAAACUUUUGAGAUCAAAUUGGCUUGCGCACACAAUUUAUGAAUCGGAUCUUCACUGUGUUGAGAAUGUUACUCAACAACCAAAUCAUGCUACCUUUUCACCCCUCUUUUGUGUGGUUCAAUAAUUAAUCGUACUUCAAAGUCUGAUUAACAUUUUUUUUUAAAUUUGUGAGACAAUAUAAUGAUGGGAUAGGUGUUUAAAUUGUGUUAAUUAUUUGAUAAUUUCUGUUCGAAUGGAAGCUUAUAAUUAGGCAUGUUUGUUUUAGUGUUUAGUUGAUAGAUGAUAGAUCGUUUUCCUAUACCAUCCACAAAGGGAAUAAGAACCAUGAAUGAGAAUUCUUAAUUGUGAUGCUUUGAAAUAUUGUCAUGCACUCCAUGAUGCAUUUGCAUUUGGCAGCCACAUUAUGUGUUGCGUCAAUAUGAUUAAUUAUGGGGUCAAGUCAAAACUUACAAUACACAACAUAAAAGAGGGGUAGUAAAGGAGACAUUUGGAAGAGACAAAAUCAAGUGUUUCUUCGUCAUUGAUACACCCCAAGAUAGCCAUCAAGCUUGCGGAUCCAACCUUGUAUCAAAAUAUUGCUUGAAGUACUUUGAAAAUGCAUGGAAGGAGGAUUUGAGGCUUGAAAGGAUGCUAAAAUGGAAGUACAAGACUCCACUUGGGAGAAUACAUGAAGCAUGGAAAAAGAGGCCAUUUAUGCAAAGGGGCUAUUUUUGAAAAACAAGCUCAUAUACCAAAGAAGACAAAGAAGACCCGACCCUUAUUUCAUUUGGUUUAUUCUAAUAGUUAAAUGCAUAUUUGAUUGUUAGUUUUAACCUUUCUCUCAUAUUUCUCCCUUAAUUUCUAUCUAUCCUAUUUGUAUUCUUUAAUUCCGUGUUUUUCUAAUUUGAAUCAUAUCAUUUGGUAUCAGAGCCUAGUUUAGGAAUGGGAUUGAAAGUUUGGAACUAGUUUAUUGAGCUGAGAAAAGAUAUGGGCGUUUGAAGAGCUAAGCUUCUGGUUUUCCUUGUUGAUCUGAAAAACCUAUAAACUGGACUCCAUUGAAGCUUCAAUAUAUAUAUAUUUCUUUGAAGUUGUUGGUCUUAUUGUUUAUUCGAAGUUGUUGUCGAGAAGCUUCACCGAACGUCUUUGUGUUGAAUUGUCAAUGAUUUGGAGACCAUUAGGUGGAAGGACAUACUGGUUUCGUGGUCUCCAUUUAAGGUACUAGGCUGAAAUCGCCAUUGAUAACCAUUAUAGGAGCUCGGAGCUUCCAUUUCAAAUUUCGGGUUGCCGCAAACGUGAAUCGAAUCGAGUGGGUAAUAUAUCAAAAUAACCGCAACACCGAGAAUAGUUCAUAUCCAAAUUUUGGGGUUGUUUGGGGGAGAUUUGAAGUGCAUAUGGAUCCAUUUUUAGUCCAGUUCACUUGAAGAAGAUGAACCGCUCUAAUUUCCAUUUUGCAGAAAUAGCCCUAAUUAGUCUAUAUGAGUCCAGGAGCCAAUUUCUGUCCAAUUUAAUAUAUAACCUUUUCUAGUUUGUUAUCUUCAUUUCCUUUUCAUCUUAUUUUGAUUAUUUCAAGAAGUCGACAUUGGUAUUAGUCCAUAUUAAUGUUGUCUAGUUCAUUUUGUGUGCCUUUAUCAUUUCGUGCUUGCUUUUCUCGUUUUUGCUUCAUUGUUAAUUGUUUGAUUCAAGUCCGUUUGCUUUCAUUUGUCCGUUCUUCGUGUCACAUAAACUCCACUCAGAACCGAUACUUGGAGCUCAUUCAAAGGACAGUUAAAGUUGUGGUUCUUGAGAUUGAGGAUAUAGGCUACUUGUGCGAAAAGGCUUGAGUGGUGAGAUCAAUUAAGUGCGGUCACAAAAGCCAUCGGCCUUUGAGUGAUACACGAGCGAAAAUUGAGUGAAAUUGAUUGAGUACCACAUAUAAAUGUGAGGGUGUGAUUGUGAGGUCCUUGUUUUAUACUAACCACUCUUCUUUGUUUUAAAAUGUCUUUAAUAGGUACAAGGAGUUAUAUGGGAGAGAUGGAUGGCUAUGAAGCUUUGAAGUAUAUUCCUUCUCGUAACUCUCAUACUAGUAGAAUAUCAUAUGAAUAUUGUUAUGAUGAGUUGAAUGAGAAUCCUCAAGAUGUAAGGGUAAUUGAUGUGAAAGAAGAGAUUUGUAGAUUUGAGGUGGCCAUCAACUACCAAAGGGGAUACACUAUUGAGGUGGGAAGAAACAUAUCGGAAAAUCUUAUUAGUCCCGCCGUUGUAAAAAGGUUGGGGUUACUAUGUUAUCAAUUGUGUACUUCAAAGUUCAUCAAUCAGACACGGAUCAAUGAAGUAAUGGAUAAUGUAUAUAUUAGUAAAGGAGAAUAUUUUUAUAAUUCGCCAUAUGUGUUUCCUUUGGUCACUUGUGACCUAUGCUUGGGAUCUCCUUGGUAUAAACGUGGUUAUGAUCUUGUUUAUGAAGAUGUGCGUAGAAGAUUCAUGGUUCAUACUCAUUGGAGUUUUAAUGAACGUCUCUUUAAGAAAUUGCCUAUCGAAAAACCACAAAGGAGUAAGCUUGUGGAAGCCUACCAAGAAGAGAGGAGAAAUGUGUCUUCUUAAUCUACUCCAAGUAGAAGUUUCUAUAAGUCCUCACAUGAUGACACAUCAAGAAGUCCUACAAGUUCAAGAAGCCAUGAAAUUAAUGAAAUAAGUGUUGGCUUGAGAACUACUCAAGAGGUGAGCUAUAAGUCUUGUUACCAAUCCAAAAUAAAGAAGUCAAAAGAUAGAUCUCUAAGUCCAAGGCUUGGAAUUGAUUUGAAGGGCCAUCCUAACCCUUCAAAGGGUAUUCUUGGAGUACACCCUAACUUCCCCAAAGAUGAGAGACAAAAGAUUGAGAGAAGUAAGGGAGAGAAAAGUGGCUACUUAAGAGAGGAAAAAGGAGAGAAUGUGUGGAGUGAUGUGAGAAAGUUGCCACACACUUUUUCUAACUCUAACAAUUUCAAUCUUUCUUCUCCUAUUUGUGAUGUCUCUUGUGUAGGUACUUUUGGAAGCAAAUUAUUAUUGGAGGAUCCAAAGGGGAAUGCCCUUAAAGAAUCCGAAAUUUUCCCAUGCUUGAAAGACAAAAUGGAGGCCAAGACCAUUUCUUCAAUUGGUCAAGUGAACUUGAAAUUGGGAAGUCAAGGUAAAGAAGAUCCUUUUCUUGAGAAUCAAGGUAAAAUAGCUAUUCCUAAUACUUCAAGUGUUUAUAAUGUUAUUAAUGUUAUUAAUGAAAGCGCUUAUACACUAGUCAAUCCUUUUGAUGACCGAAUUGGUUCUUUUUUGCAAGAUUAAUUUGUGUCCAUCUAGUGUUGACACUUGUGAUAUGAAUGAUAGUGCAAUAUCAUGUGAUAAGAGUGCUCAUACACUAGUUGAUCCUUUUGAUGACCGAAUUGAAUCUUCUAGCAAGAUCAAUUUGUGUCCACCUAGUGUUGACACUUGUGAUGAGAAUGGUAAUAUUGUUGACACCUUGAAUGUGAGUGGGUGGCUUGUAUUUGUGUAAUCUUGAUAAUUCGUCUUCUUGCAAUAUGAACCAAAGUGAUUGUUAUAGGCAUCCACUAGUUGAUGUCAAUUGUGUAGCUAAUGAAGUUAUUUCUUGUGAGCUUGUGAAGUUACAAACUAGUGAUGUGCAAUUUAAGAACGUUAGUGGGCUUGAGAGUGCUUCGUUGAGUAAUUGUUUAAUUCAUGAUCCUAUUGCUACAUUUUCUCAUAGAAACACUAUUCUUGUUACUAACUUGAUGGAGGAUGAUUGUCUUUUUGCAAGUGAAUUUAGUUGUCUUGAUUCCUUAUCUUGUAAAGGCAUGAACUCUAGUUGUGCAAGUAACUUUGAGUUGAGUUUGAAGAAUGCAAGUGCAAUGUCAUGUGUUGGCAAGAGUAGAAAGAGUACUUUGCUUGAAAAGAAAGAUAGCAUGAUAAAAAUUCAUUCUUUGUUCUAUUUCAUGAAUUCCAUUAAGAACAUAGGUUUGGAUGAAGAUUGUGGUAACUAUCCCUUUAUUGAUAUGGACCUUUCUCUCUUGAAAAAGGAUGAUCCUUUGGUUGAGGAAGAAUUUGAUUUGCUUGAUUAUUUGAGAAAUCCAACUAAAGAUUAUUCUUACAAUGUUGGCAUUGAUAGUGACUCUUUGUAUGACUCUCCACCUUUGUUUGGUGAAGAUAAAAAUGAAUUGCUUGAUUCUUGUGGUCUCUUGAAUUAUGACAUUCUUGAUUCAAGUGGUGGUUCAUGUCAUGAUGAAAAUGUUUGUCUUUUGAAAGAAGAUAACACUUGCUUAGAACAUGAUACUCCUUUGAAUUGUUCUAAUCUUAAUCUUUUGCUUAAUUUUGAUGAAUCCAAAAGUGAGCUUGAAAAUGAGGGCAUCAUUGAUGAGUUUAUAUUAAGUGAAACCUUUCUUUUUGACUUAUUUGCCCUUGGUGAAAAUAGUAUUUUAAAAUAUGAAAAGUGCAUAAUUUUGGGAAUAUGUUGUGUGAAGAGUUGCUGGAAGAUUCUACAUGUUUGGAUGUUAGCAAGCUAACUCAUGAUUUGUUUGAUGAAAGCAAAUCAUUUGAGAGGCAAUCCUUCAAGGGUGAAGAAGGAUUCUUAAAGAAGGAGGGACACUUGAUGGUCAAGGGUAGUGAAUUAAGAGAUAUUAGCUCUAAUAUCAGUUUCUUUACUUACUCUAUUCCCGAUUCUGAAUAUACUUUUGGGAUGGACUAUGCUAGAGCUUCUACUUUAAAGAGUAAGAAGAAUCCAUAUGAAGUUUGGCAUGGCAUACAUGAGCUUAAAAAUAGAACCUUUUCUUGUGAUUAUUCCAUGUCAUUGAUUCUUGACUCAUGCUUAGAUAUGGUUCAAAUAUUUUUUGAGUCUUGCGUGGGGGAUACUUUUGUAUUUGAUCCCGGAGUAGUUUGUGUACAUUCUUCUUGGACAUGGAUUGGCGUGUUGUGUAGAGUGUGGAAUAUUGAGUAUAAUGCAUUCAUGUAUAAGAAAGUAGAUUCUUCAUUUGAAUUAGAGGGAGAAUUAUUCUUUAUGAUCACUAGAGCCAACAUGAACUUCACAAUUUGUUCUCUUAAGAUUGUUGGUUUUAUUUAUUCACCCUUUGUUCAUAAUUAUGUGGAUAGCCAAGUAUUUGCAUCGUUUGUGUCAUACAUGCCCUUUGUUGAAUUUCUAGAUGCUUGGUGAUAUCAUAAGAGUACAUUUUGGGAAAAAUUUGUUGAUGCUUCUCUUGUUUGUGUUAUUAUUGCUAACCCGUCUUGGAGAUUACACUUGCUAGUCCUUGGAUCUUGUUUGGGUUUUGUUAAAUUUAUCAUGUUAGACAAAAAUUCGAGAACGAAUUUCUUCAAAGAAGGAGGGAAUGAUACACCCCAAGAUAGCCAUCAAGCUUGCGGAUCCGACCUUGUAUCAAAAUAUUGCUUGAAGUACUUAGAAAAUGCAUGGAAGGAGGAUUUGAGGCUUGAAGGGAUGCUAAAAUGGAAGUAGAAGACUCCACUUGGAAGAAUACAUGGAACAUGGAAAAAGAGGUCAUUUGUGCAAAGGGGCUAUUUUUUAAAAACAAGCUCAUAUGCCAAAGAAGACUAAGAAGACCCGACCCUUAUUUCAUUAAGGGCAAUUUUGUAAUAAUCAUUAUUAGUCUUUAUUCUUAACCUAGUAUAAAUACUACACUAUGUCAUUUUAUGAGGGUUAGAUUGUGUUGAUGUAUGAAAAAUUGAGCAAGUGCUCUUUGUGAGGAUUUUAAGAAUUCCUCUUUCUUUUUUGAACCCUUUGACUACUUUGGAUGAGUGAAUCCAAAAAUAUUAGUGCAAUGAAUUUAUUUUGCAAUUAUUCUUAUAGGAAGUGAAAAGGAAAGAAGAGGUUUUAGGCUUUUAGCAAGAGCUGAUAUUGUUAUAGAGGAAAGGAAUUAGCCAUCAAUUUUCUUCAUCAUUCAUUAUGACAAUUGCAAAUGAAAUCCAUCUACAAAAGUUGCAUUUAAGGAAGAAAUAACGAAGAUGAAAAGUACCAUAACUUUCAAAGACCCAUAUAUAUUCCAACCUAUCUCUCACCACUUUGGCACCCGAUAUAUAUUGUUUUUUCUGUGUGGCAAGUUCAAGAAUUACACGGAGAAAAACCCCCAAAAAGAAUAGCUUUGAAACAGAAACAAAAGCAAGGCAUGAGAAGGAGAAAAUUGAAAUGGCUGCUUCAGAAGAGGAGGAGAAUGUUGGAUUCCAACUUCAAGAUUGAUCAUUUGCAAGGCAGUGUCUUACCCAAUUUACAUAGAACUUGAAUGUGAUUUCUCACAUAACAUGUUACUUUCUUCUGUAAUUAAGCUACAUUGAACCAAUUUAAUGAAUGCACUAGCUUAUUUGCAAAGUGAACGCCUUUCUGAAAAAGAUUAAUUUGUAAGAUCAUCUAUUUUUUUACUAUCUCUGCUUAUUAUUGCAUAAC